AACGAACGCUGGCGGCAUGCCUAACACAUGCCAGUCGAACGAGACCUUCGGGUCUAGUGGCGCAGGGGUGAGUAACGUGUGGGAACCUGCCCUUAGGUUCGGAAUAACUCCCCGCAAGGGGUGCUAAUACCGGUUAAUGUCUUCGGACCAAAGAUUUAUCACCUUUGGGUGGGUCUGCGUUGGAUUAGCUAGUUGGUAGGGUAAAAGCCUACCAAGGCGAGGAUCCAUAGCUGGUCUGAGAGGAUGAUCAGCCACACUGGGACUGAGACACGGCCCAGACUCCUACGGGAGGCAGCAGUGGGGAAUAUUGGACAAGGGGCGAAAGCCUGAUACAGCCAUGCCGCGUGAGUGAUGAAGGCCUUAGGGUUGUAAAGCUCUUUUACCCGAGAUGAUAAUGACGGUACCGGGAGAAUAAGCUCCGGCUAACUCCGUG
RNAcentral lists this ribosomal RNA (433 nucleotides) under uncultured bacterium. Its description in RNAcentral is "partial 16S ribosomal RNA". It matches the Rfam family "Bacterial small subunit ribosomal RNA", at positions 29 to 507 of the family's 1533-position model. The record is from RNAcentral.